UGAGAUGUAGUUCAGGUAGCAGAAUGCUUGCCUAGCAUGCAUGAAGGCCUGGGUUCAAGCCCCAGCACCACAA
This 73-nucleotide transfer RNA is filed under the name Cricetulus griseus (Chinese hamster). It matches the Rfam family "tRNA". Rfam says of the family: Transfer RNA (tRNA) molecules are approximately 80 nucleotides in length. Their secondary structure includes four short double-helical elements and three loops (D, anti-codon, and T loops). Further hydrogen bonds mediate the characteristic L-shaped molecular structure. tRNAs have two regions of fundamental functional importance: the anti-codon, which is responsible for specific mRNA codon recognition, and the 3' end, to which the tRNAs corresponding amino acid is attached (by aminoacyl-tRNA synthetases). tRNAs cope with the degeneracy of the genetic code in two manners: having more than one tRNA (with a specific anti-codon) for a particular amino acid; and 'wobble' base-pairing, i.e. permitting non-standard base-pairing at the 3rd anti-codon position. The record is from Rfam by way of RNAcentral. Lineage: Eukaryota; Metazoa; Chordata; Mammalia; Rodentia; Cricetidae.